AGAGUUUGAUCAUGGCUCAGAUUGAACGCUGGCGGCAGGCCUAACACAUGCAAGUCGAGCGGUAGCACAGAGAGCUUGCUCUCGGGUGACGAGCGGCGGACGGGUGAGUAAUGUCUGGGAAACUGCCUGAUGGAGGGGGAUAACUACUGGAAACGGUAGCUAAUACCGCAUAAUGUCGCAAGACCAAAGUGGGGGACCUUCGGGCCUCAUGCCAUCAGAUGUGCCCAGAUGGGAUUAGCUAGUAGGUGGGGUAACGGCUCACCUAGGCGACGAUCCCUAGCUGGUCUGAGAGGAUGACCAGCCACACUGGAACUGAGACACGGUCCAGACUCCUACGGGAGGCAGCAGUGGGGAAUAUUGCACAAUGGGCGCAAGCCUGAUGCAGCCAUGCCGCGUGUGUGAAGAAGGCCUUCGGGUUGUAAAGCACUUUCAGCGGGGAGGAAGGCGUUGAGGUUAAUAACCUUGGCGAUUGACGUUACCCGCAGAAGAAGCACCGGCUAACUCCGUGCCAGCAGCCGCGGUAAUACGGAGGGUGCAAGCGUUAAUCGGAAUUACUGGGCGUAAAGCGCACGCAGGCGGUCUGUCAAGUCGGAUGUGAAAUCCCCGGGCUUAACCUGGGAACUGCAUUCGAAACUGGCAGGCUAGAGUCUUGUAGAGGGGGGUAGAAUUCCAGGUGUAGCGGUGAAAUGCGUAGAGAUCUGGAGGAAUACCGGUGGCGAAGGCGGCCCCCUGGACAAAGACUGACGCUCAGGUGCGAAAGCGUGGGGAGCAAACAGGAUUAGAUACCCUGGUAGUCCACGCCGUAAACGAUGUCGAUUUGGAGGUUGUGCCCUUGAGGCGUGGCUUCCGGAGCUAACGCGUUAAAUCGACCGCCUGGGGAGUACGGCCGCAAGGUUAAAACUCAAAUGAAUUGACGGGGGCCCGCACAAGCGGUGGAGCAUGUGGUUUAAUUCGAUGCAACGCGAAGAACCUUACCUGGUCUUGACAUCCACAGAACUUUCCAGAGAUGGAUUGGUGCCUUCGGGAACUGUGAGACAGGUGCUGCAUGGCUGUCGUCAGCUCGUGUUGUGAAAUGUUGGGUUAAGUCCCGCAACGAGCGCAACCCUUAUCCUUUGUUGCCAGCGGUCCGGCCGGGAACUCAAAGGAGACUGCCAGUGAUAAACUGGAGGAAGGUGGGGAUGACGUCAAGUCAUCAUGGCCCUUACGACCAGGGCUACACACGUGCUACAAUGGCAUAUACAAAGAGAAGCGACCUCGCGAGAGCAAGCGGACCUCAUAAAGUAUGUCGUAGUCCGGAUUGGAGUCUGCAACUCGACUCCAUGAAGUCGGAAUCGCUAGUAAUCGUAGAUCAGAAUGCUACGGUGAAUACGUUCCCGGGCCUUGUACACACCGCCCGUCACACCAUGGGAGUGGGUUGCAAAAGAAGUAGGUAGCUUAACCUUCGGGAGGGCGCUUACCACUUUGUGAUUCAUGACUGGGGUGAAGUCGUAACAAGGUAACCGUAGGGGAACCUGCGGUUGGAUCACCU
This 1528-nucleotide ribosomal RNA is filed under the name Klebsiella pneumoniae. RNAcentral's name for it is "bacterial SSU rRNA". It matches the Rfam family "Bacterial small subunit ribosomal RNA". Lineage: Bacteria; Pseudomonadati; Pseudomonadota; Gammaproteobacteria; Enterobacterales; Enterobacteriaceae. The record is from RNAcentral.